RNAcentral lists this ribosomal RNA (115 nucleotides) under Danio rerio (zebrafish). Lineage: Eukaryota; Metazoa; Chordata; Actinopteri; Cypriniformes; Danionidae. The record is from RNAcentral.
GCCAGCAGCUAGCUCUCUGCAACUCUCACAUGGUUGCCCACUGAAGCUAAGCAGGUCUGUGUCCUGUCAGUACCUGGAUGGGAGACCACAUGGGAAAGCUAGAUUGCUGCUGGAA